CUGAUCGUCGUAGUGCGUUAAAUUUAAUUUUUCGAUCAUUUUCGCAUUCAUUUUUAUUAUUCAAUUUAAGUCCUACUUACUUAUUUAUUUUACCUUUUCUUUGAUGUAUUGUCAAAAGUUAGCAUGUUUAAAUGGAUCUAUUUAAUAUCUAGUGUACAUUUAUUUUAUUUUAUUAACUAAUUCAUUUCUUUUGUAUUAAUAUUCAAAAACAUAAAAAAAAAUAACAAAAAGAAAAAUAAAAAAAUAGAAACUCCAACGUCUCUCUUCC
This 268-nucleotide long non-coding RNA is filed under the name Lathyrus oleraceus (garden pea). RNAcentral's name for it is "Pisum sativum (pea) long non-coding RNA (PSAT_LNC023524)". The record is from RNAcentral. Lineage: Eukaryota; Viridiplantae; Streptophyta; Magnoliopsida; Fabales; Fabaceae.